AUCAAAAUCAAUACAGAUGCAUCUUGGAGUACCAAGUCCCACAUGAGUUCCCUUGCUUACAUAGUCAGAAACCAUGAAGGUGUGGUCCUUACCGGGGGAGUAUCCAAAUUACCGUGCCCCUCUCCCCUUCUUGCAGAAGCAUGUGCGCUGAGGGAGGCUUUGGUCUUCGUCAAUAAUUUGGGGGAGGACAAAGUUCUUAUGGAAUCUGACUGUCUGCAACUAAUUGAGGCAUGCAAUAGGAAGAAAACAAUUGGAGAAAUCCAAGUUAUUGUGGAAGAUAUUAUUAAACUUUGAGGCAAUCUGCAGUUAUGUACUUUUACCUGGAUCCCACGAAAGACCAACAAGGUUGCCCACUCCAUAACGCAGCUACACAGCAGGAACAACCUUCCCCCAAAUUGGUGCUUCGCCCCUCCCCACGGCUUAGCCAUGGACAUUCGUGCUGAUUUGUCACUGAUCGAAAGGGAACCAGAUUGAUUUUGUUGUGUAUUUGGAAAUUCACAAGGAGCUUCAGAAGGGGAACAAGGCAUUCUGCGUUCUUGGCCCUCUCCCUUAGUCUAACUUUGCUCCCCUGUGUUUCAGAGCCUAGUUAUUACUGGUUUUAAUUGAUGUAGUGGGACAAGUUUGUCACUUGGACCGUGUUUUUUUCCCACUACCCCUGUUUUCAUUGUAAUUUCCGCCAGCUAUAAUUGGCUCUGAAUUUAUGAAAUAGCAUUCCGUUGACCAAAAAAAAAAAGGCAGGUUCUCUCUUUGGCAUAACAAUGGCUACCAAUCCUACCAUAAACCCUAGAUGAAGACCUCAAUGUUCAUAUAAGUACAUUUGGCGCCCACCGUGGGGCCCGGUGAAACUCUUCCGGACCUCAAGGAUGAAGAAUUUCCAAGCAUGGUUAACCACUGUUCACGGAUCGAGAAGAAAAAGGAAGGAACAAAAAAUUCGUUACCACCACGGCGUUUCUUGUUCACUGUCGCGGGUAGCUUCGGUUUCCGAUCUUUGAUCGGCGUGGCUAGGGGAACGCAUCGUCAACCCUCUGCCACGAAGCUAACGGCACCUCUGGCGCCUCGGAUUUAAGACAUAGAGGAGCAGUUCAGACCAAGGAGAAGGAAGGGAUAAGUUAGGACACACCAACCGCUCGAUAAAAUACUUGAUUGAACUUCUCUUCAUUUCCAUGAUGUUGCUGUCAAAUUGGACAUGAAUAUUGAGAAGUUGGUCGCACUUGAAGAAUACUUAGAAUCUGGAAUGGUAUUACGCCUGGUUUGCAUAAUUUGCUCUUACAAUUUGCUGCUAAAUUCACUAUGCUUGGACUGGUUUAUUUUACUGCAAUCAAACAUGUGCUAAAUUGAUAUGCCAUUUUAGUACUACUCUUGAGUGUUAAAAUGUAGCUCAUUCCUCCUGAUAUAUUCAAAAUAACAUUCCAGUUUAUAUUUCUUAA
This is a long non-coding RNA of Lotus japonicus, 1427 nucleotides long. RefSeq lists it as uncharacterized. NCBI's taxonomy places the organism in Eukaryota, Viridiplantae, Streptophyta, Magnoliopsida, Fabales, Fabaceae. The transcript is spliced from 2 exons. The record is from RefSeq and is a predicted model, not a curated record.